Long non-coding RNA from Haliaeetus leucocephalus (bald eagle), 964 nucleotides. RefSeq lists it as uncharacterized. NCBI's taxonomy places the organism in Eukaryota, Metazoa, Chordata, Aves, Accipitriformes, Accipitridae. The transcript is spliced from 3 exons. The record is from RefSeq and is a predicted model, not a curated record.
AAUACUAACAAUAAAAAUAACAAAAUAAGCAGCCAUUUGAAAAAGACUGCAGCACGUUCAGCUGCAUCGGGGUGCUGUUUUCUCCCCUCCUGGGGAGGGGGAGCCAAGGCCAGCCCCCUCCCAUAGCCAGCUCUGGCCGCAGUUCGGACAGUUCCUGCUGCCCGCUGGUAUAAUCAAUAGCGGCCGCACAGCCAGACGGUUGCACACAGCCCACACACUUGGCACAGAAACAAGUGCUUUUCUGGGAAAAACGGGGUGCGAGGGCAGGAUACAAGUGUCCCUGCUAUCUGCAGGCAGCCGUCCCUGCUCUCGGUAUCUCCUCCUGGAUACGGGCCCUCCUCCAGGGGCAUUUUCAUAGACGGCUGGGAGGAGACUCCCCAGCACCGUGUUUAGCCUGAUAUUUCAUCUCCCCCCUCUGUGGAGAGAGUGGUCCCUCUCUGGCCUUUUAAUCUCCCUUCUGGAAAACAGCCUGGGGACGAAACAGAAGAUGACCUUUAAAAGAAGACCCGUGGAUUGCCACCACGAUGCCUAGACAGCAUGGAAUCUAGAGUGCCCAGAAUGAUCUAUUUCAGCCCUUCCUCCUCUUGGAUCUUUGAGGAGAGCCAGAAGAAUCUGAAGUCGGUCUGUGAAAGGAGGCAGAGACUUAAUGACUAUCCACCACACAUCGCUGAUCAGCACCUGCUGAGCGUCUCCAUUCCUCUGCACUUGCCCAGGAGAUUUACAAACUCAGCUUCACCUGCAGAGCCAGACAGCACCCCCAACUCUUCCCCUGAUACCCCCAAAAGAUGUACCCAAUUAUUCCAGUAGCCAGCAGCCCAUAAGCGGUGAAGAUGCUGGUGCUUAGACAAAACACCCAUCCUGCUGCAUAGCGAGUGGGCUAUGUCCAGUGCUGGCUGCAAAGCAGCUCACAAACAGGGAACAAAAGGCAGGGCAGGGCAGAGCGGGAAGGUUCAGUACCUGGCAG